GGUUAAGCGACUAAGCGUACACGGUGGAUGCCCUGGCAGUCAGAGGCGAUGAAGGACGUGCUAAUCUGCGAUAAGCGUCGGUAAGGUGAUAUGAACCGUUAUAACCGGCGAUUUCCGAAUGGGGAAACCCAGUGUGAUUCGUCACACUAUCAUUAACUGAAUCCAUAGGUUAAUGAGGCGAACCGGGGGAACUGAAACAUCUAAGUACCCCGAGGAAAAGAAAUCAACCGAGAUUCCCCCAGUAGCGGCGAGCGAACGGGGAGCAGCCCAGAGCCUGAAUCAGUGUGUGUGUUAGUGGAAGCGUCUGGAAAGGCGCGCGAUACAGGGUGACAGCCCCGUACACAAAAAUGCACAUGCUGUGAGCUCGAUGAGUAGGGCGGGACACGUGGUAUCCUGUCUGAAUAUGGGGGGACCAUCCUCCAAGGCUAAAUACUCCUGACUGACCGAUAGUGAACCAGUACCGUGAGGGAAAGGCGAAAAGAACCCCGGCGAGGGGAGUGAAAAAGAACCUGAAACCGUGUACGUACAAGCAGUGGGAGCACAGAGCAAUCUGUGUGACUGCGUACCUUUUGUAUAAUGGGUCAGCGACUUAUAUUCUGUAGCAAGGUUAACCGAAUAGGGGAGCCGAAGGGAAACCGAGUCUUAACUGGGCGUUAAGUUGCAGGGUAUAGACCCGAAACCCGGUGAUCUAGCCAUGGGCAGGUUGAAGGUUGGGUAACACUAACUGGAGGACCGAACCGACUAAUGUUGAAAAAUUAGCGGAUGACUUGUGGCUGGGGGUGAAAGGCCAAUCAAACCGGGAGAUAGCUGGUUCUCCCCGAAAGCUAUUUAGGUAGCGCCUCGUGAAUUCAUCUCCGGGGGUAGAGCACUGUUUCGGCAAGGGGGUCAUCCCGACUUACCAACCCGAUGCAAACUGCGAAUACCGGAGAAUGUUAUCACGGGAGACACACGGCGGGUGCUAACGUCCGUCGUGAAGAGGGAAACAACCCAGACCGCCAGCUAAGGUCCCAAAGUCAUGGUUAAGUGGGAAACGAUGUGGGAAGGCCCAGACAGCCAGGAUGUUGGCUUAGAAGCAGCCAUCAUUUAAAGAAAGCGUAAUAGCUCACUGGUCGAGUCGGCCUGCGCGGAAGAUGUAACGGGGCUAAACCAUGCACCGAAGCUGCGGCAGCGACACUGUGUGUUGUUGGGUAGGGGAGCGUUCUGUAAGCCUGCGAAGGUGUGCUGUGAGGCAUGCUGGAGGUAUCAGAAGUGCGAAUGCUGACAUAAGUAACGAUAAAGCGGGUGAAAAGCCCGCUCGCCGGAAGACCAAGGGUUCCUGUCCAACGUUAAUCGGGGCAGGGUGAGUCGACCCCUAAGGCGAGGCCGAAAGGCGUAGUCGAUGGGAAACAGGUUAAUAUUCCUGUACUUGGUGUUACUGCGAAGGGGGGACGGAGAAGGCUAUGUUGGCCGGGCGACGGUUGUCCCGGUUUAAGCGUGUAGGCUGGUUUUCCAGGCAAAUCCGGAAAAUCAAGGCUGAGGCGUGAUGACGAGGCACUACGGUGCUGAAGCAACAAAUGCCCUGCUUCCAGGAAAAGCCUCUAAGCAUCAGGUAACAUCAAAUCGUACCCCAAACCGACACAGGUGGUCAGGUAGAGAAUACCAAGGCGCUUGAGAGAACUCGGGUGAAGGAACUAGGCAAAAUGGUGCCGUAACUUCGGGAGAAGGCACGCUGAUAUGUAGGUGAAGUCCCUCGCGGAUGGAGCUGAAAUCAGUCGAAGAUACCAGCUGGCUGCAACUGUUUAUUAAAAACACAGCACUGUGCAAACACGAAAGUGGACGUAUACGGUGUGACGCCUGCCCGGUGCCGGAAGGUUAAUUGAUGGGGUCAGCGCAAGCGAAGCUCUUGAUCGAAGCCCCGGUAAACGGCGGCCGUAACUAUAACGGUCCUAAGGUAGCGAAAUUCCUUGUCGGGUAAGUUCCGACCUGCACGAAUGGCGUAAUGAUGGCCAGGCUGUCUCCACCCGAGACUCAGUGAAAUUGAACUCGCUGUGAAGAUGCAGUGUACCCGCGGCAAGACGGAAAGACCCCGUGAACCUUUACUAUAGCUUGACACUGAACAUUGAGCCUUGAUGUGUAGGAUAGGUGGGAGGCUUUGAAGUGUGGACGCCAGUCUGCAUGGAGCCG
This 2163-nucleotide ribosomal RNA is filed under the name Escherichia coli. RNAcentral's name for it is "partial 23S ribosomal RNA". It matches the Rfam family "Bacterial large subunit ribosomal RNA", at positions 1 to 2188 of the family's 2925-position model. Lineage: Bacteria; Pseudomonadati; Pseudomonadota; Gammaproteobacteria; Enterobacterales; Enterobacteriaceae. The record is from RNAcentral.